Molecule: non-coding RNA, 222 nt
Filed under: Cynara cardunculus var. scolymus (artichoke)
Lineage: Eukaryota; Viridiplantae; Streptophyta; Magnoliopsida; Asterales; Asteraceae
Source: RNAcentral
AAACUUAUCUAUUGCAAGCUGAUUUUCCCUUCUGGCAAGGCUCAUUCCAUGUCUAAGACAACUCCUUGGAACAUACAUCUGCCUCUUUGCCCCCCUGUAAAUGUUGUUGCAAAGUGCCAGAUGUGUGUGCCAAGAAGUUGUCUUAGGCAUGUUAUGAGCCUUUCCACAAGAAAUUACAUGGAUUAGCCCAAGUAAUAGGUAUGGAAUUUUAUAUUCAUUCCU